Molecule: ribosomal RNA, 253 nt
Filed under: uncultured bacterium
Lineage: Bacteria
Description: partial 16S ribosomal RNA
Rfam family: Bacterial small subunit ribosomal RNA
Source: RNAcentral
UACGUAGGUGGCGAGCGUUGUCCGGAUUUACUGGGCGUAAAGCGCAAGCAGGCGGUCUGUUAAGUUUGACGUAAAAUCUCCUGGCUUAACUGGGAGGGGUCGUUGGAGACUGGCAGACUUGAGGCGAUGAGAGGGGCAUGGAAUUCCCGGUGUAGUGGUGGAAUGCGUAGAGAUCGGGAGGAACACCAGAGGCGAAAGCGGUGCCCUGGCAUUGGCCUGACGCUGAGAUGCGAAAGCGUGGGGAGCGAACGGG